Molecule: ribosomal RNA, 253 nt
Filed under: uncultured bacterium
Lineage: Bacteria
Description: partial 16S ribosomal RNA
Rfam family: Bacterial small subunit ribosomal RNA
Source: RNAcentral
UACGUAGGGUGCAAGCGUUGUCCGGAAUUAUUGGGCGUAAAGGGCUCGUAGGCGGUCCAUCGCGUCGGGAGUGAAAAGCUGGGGCUCAACCCCAGUCCUGCUUCCGAUACGGGUGGACUAGAGGUAUGCAGGGGAGAACGGAAUUCCUGGUGUAGCGGUGGAAUGCGCAGAUAUCAGGAGGAACACCUAUGGCGAAGGCGGUUCUCUGGGACGGUACUGACGCUGAGACGCGAAAGCGUGGGGAGCGAACAGG